GACGGGGGGGGCAAGCGUUGUUCGGAAUUACUGGGCGUAAAGGGCGCGCAGGCGGGCGAGAAAGUCUCUCGUGAAAGCCCACGGCUCAACCGUGGAAUUGCGGCGGAAACUGCUCGGCUUGAGUCCGGGAGAGGAGGGUGGAAUUCCCAGUGUAGCGGUGAAAUGCGUAGAUAUUGGGAGGAACACCGGUGGCGAAGGCGGCCCUCUGGACCGGUACUGACGCUGAGGCGCGAAAGCGAGGGGAGCAAACGGG
RNAcentral lists this ribosomal RNA (253 nucleotides) under uncultured bacterium. RNAcentral's name for it is "partial 16S ribosomal RNA". It matches the Rfam family "Bacterial small subunit ribosomal RNA", at positions 524 to 776 of the family's 1533-position model. The record is from RNAcentral.